GACGAACGCUGGCGGCGUGCUUAACACAUGCAAGUCGAACGGAAAGGCCCCUUUGGGGGUACUCGAGUGGCGCACGGGUGAGUAACACGUGAGUAACCUGCCCUUGACUUCGGGAUAACUUCAGGAAACUGGGGCUAAUACCGGAUAGGAAUCCUUGCUGCAUGGUGGGGGUUGGAAAGCUUCGGCGGCUUUGGAUGGACUCGCGGCUUACCAGCUUGUUGGUGGGGUAGUGGCUUACCAAGGCUUUGACGGGUAGCCGGCCUGUGAGGGCGACCGGCCACAUUGGGACUGAGAUACGGCCCAGGCUCCUACGGGAGGCAGCAGUGGGGAAUAUUGCACAAUGGGCGGAAGCCUGAUGCAGCAACGCCGCGUGCGGGAUGACGGCCUUCGGGUUGUAAACCGCUUUCAGCAGGGGCGAAGCUUGUGGUGACGGUACCUGCAGAAGAAGCACCGGCUAACUACGUG
Molecule: ribosomal RNA, 465 nt
Filed under: uncultured bacterium
Lineage: Bacteria
Description: partial 16S ribosomal RNA
Rfam family: Bacterial small subunit ribosomal RNA
Source: RNAcentral